This 447-nucleotide ribosomal RNA is filed under the name uncultured marine eukaryote. Its description in RNAcentral is "bacterial SSU rRNA". It matches the Rfam family "Eukaryotic small subunit ribosomal RNA", at positions 609 to 1057 of the family's 1831-position model. The record is from RNAcentral.
GUUGUUGCGGUUAAAAAGCUCGUAGUUGGAUCUCGGCAAGCAGGGGGUGGUUCGCUCUUCGACGGUACUGCCCCAUUUGCCCGUGUGAUUGCAGGAGGUUUGGGGGUGCCCUUCAUUGAGUGACCCCGGGCGCCUGCAGGUUUACUUUGAAAAAAUUAGAGUGCUCAAAGCAGGCUUACACGCUUGAAUAUUCGUGCAUGGAAUAAUGGAAUAGGAACUCGUUUCUAUUUUGUUGGUUUUCGGAAAUCGACUUAAUGAUUAAUAGGGACAAUUGGGGGCAUUAGUAUUCAAACGACAGAGGUGAAAUUCUUGGACCGUCUGAAGACUAACUACUGCGAAAGCAUUUGCCAAGAGUGUUUUCAUUAAUCAAGAACGAAAGUUAGAGGUUCGAAGGCGAUCAGAUACCGCCCUAGUUCUAACCAUAAACGAUGCCAGCUAGCGAUCUGC